RNAcentral lists this long non-coding RNA (2153 nucleotides) under Nicotiana tabacum (common tobacco). RNAcentral describes it as "long non-coding RNA (NTAB_LNC014742)". Lineage: Eukaryota; Viridiplantae; Streptophyta; Magnoliopsida; Solanales; Solanaceae. The record is from RNAcentral.
UAAGAACUAGGAAGACAUAGAAAAUAAUGGUAAGUUGCGUAGUUGAAUUCAUGAGUCUGCCAGUCAUCUUAUACGAGAGUCUUGAGUAGCCGUUGCAUAUUGACCCUUGAUUGAGGCACAAAAUAUUCUAAGAGUUUUUACCCAAGGGGUGCCUCCGAAUCCUGCUCAAGAGAUGGGCUGGGGUCACGACCCAAAAUCCGACUAGUCGUGAUCGCACCUAACCCAACCCGCUAGGUAAGCCAGUUAACCACUAACCAAUUCCAAUAACAAUUUAUGAAGCAAUUAAGUAAUGAAAAGUCUUAGUCUUAUACACUCUCCAAGAACUGGUAGUACAAAUCGUGAGCUUCUAAGAAUAGAAUUUACAAAGCUGAUAUGAAGUAAAUACAUAAAAAGUACAUAAACAAAGUUUUUAUAAAUCUAAGACUAUCAUGAACAAGAGGCAGCUACAAUAGGAACGCAGGUACAUUAUCAAAUCUGGCAACCAUCGAGCACAACAAAACCAACAUCCAACAUCUGCACGCAAUGUCCAGAAGUGUAGUAUCAGUACAACCGACCUCAUGUACUGAGUAAGUAACAAACCUAAUAUUAGGUUGAAAGCAGUGACGAGCUAGAACAUAGGUCGGGUCCAACACCAAUAACCAAUAGCAGUUCAUAACAAUGUAGGGCAUAUAAAUAAGAAAGCAAUUCGAAAUAAAAUGCUCAACUUUAUCACAAUUUCCCGAAAAUAGUUUCGCUUUUCAAGAAUAAUAGUGAAAACCCAAAUCCUUUACCAAAAUCGUCGAAAAGUAUGAGAUAGUUUGAAAACUGUAAUUUUUUCCAAAAAUCCUUUCCAAAAAUAAGUAAGAUGCUUCAUUUCCUUUCAAGAUAGCAAGUGUGAAAUACCUCUCUAUGCUCACAUAUCAAUGUGUGUAAAAGUCAUAAAUGACGUGAUACUGCACAGAAUGAGAAAAAAAGCAUCUCUAUGCAUGUAUGUCAUGUGUGCAUGCCAAUGACAUGUAUCUCAGAGAUGAAUCAUGUACUCACACUCUCAGAGUACUCAAUCUCACUGUCUCACACUUUUCACUCAUCAUGCUCAACCACUCGGUACUGUAUAUGGCCCAUACGGCCUAGGGAAGAUCCAUCCCGGAAUACAUACAUCACAGAACAUUAGUCACUCAGUACCAAGGAAGGCCAAUCCGGCCCAUGGAGAAGAUCCAUCUCCAGGUAUAUAAUGCUUCGGACAAGAUCCAUGUCCAGGGAAGAUUCAUCCCUCAAUAUAAUCAACCGCGCUCACUAGGGGUGUGUGCAGACUCCGGAGGGGCUCCUACAGCCCAAGCUCUAUCAUAAGCCAGAUCCAGGCAUAAAUCAAUAUAGCAUGCUGCGGCGUGCAGCACGAUCCCAUAACUGUUACUCAUAAUCAGGCUCUCGGCCUCACUCAGUAAUAAAUCUCUCUAGUGUCACUCACGGGCUUACAACGUCAUGAAACUAGCAUGACAACAAUGAUAUGAUGUAUCAAUAAAUAACAACUGAGACUGCGAUAUGAUAGGAAUACAUGAAUAUGACAGAGUACGAAAUAUCAAUGAAAUCAGUGAGAUGAUAGCAAGAAACGACCACUAUUAUUGUACUCUUUUUUAUCUAUAGAGGCUCCGUAGACAUAGUGGGUUGUAUUUUGGUACUGGAAAAGACAAACUAUGCUAUGUUGUGGUUGUAUUACUUGUCCAUUUGAGACUUUAAAAAUGGUGAAACUUAUGGUAAAAAAUUGGUAACUGCAGACACGACCACUUUAUUGUUUAAUUAAGGAAAAAUAUAUUCUUUUUUUUCAUGAAUGAGUUUGGGUAGAAGAAAUCUAACAGGCUUGCUCGGUCGGGUUCACUCGGUUGAGUGCCGGUCGCGCUCCACGAUUUUGGGGCGUGACACUUACGUCCUUCCUUUUCGUAUUCAUAAUCAGGGGAGUGAUUUAUGGCUUGACUUGAUCGAUCAAUAUUCAGAAUCUCCUGAUUCCAAAUCAAUCCUUGAAGUAGAGACUAUCAUUGCGCUUGAUCUUGUUUCCUUUUUUAUGGCUUUGACAUCAUUUGAUUUAGCAUUGUCCUUGCUGCAUUUGAUUUUGUUUCCUUUCUGAUAUCUUUAACAUAUUGACUUCCUUUGAUUUAGUACUGCCCAUCUAAUUUCCNNNN